This 73-nucleotide transfer RNA is filed under the name Syncephalis pseudoplumigaleata. It matches the Rfam family "tRNA". From Rfam's summary of the family: Transfer RNA (tRNA) molecules are approximately 80 nucleotides in length. Their secondary structure includes four short double-helical elements and three loops (D, anti-codon, and T loops). Lineage: Eukaryota; Fungi; Zoopagomycota; Zoopagomycetes; Zoopagales; Piptocephalidaceae. The record is from Rfam by way of RNAcentral.
GGGGGUCUAGCUCAAAUGGUAGAGCGCUCGCUUCGCAUGCGAGAAGUACUGGGAUCGAUACCCAGGUCCUCCA